GCAGAGUAGGAACACGCGUGCGUUGCCCUUCGGGGCCAGUGCCGGCGGGACGGGGAGUUGUCCGCCGGACGAACAGCGUAUAUGCGGCAGUGCGUGUUCCGCAUCCCGCUGC
This 112-nucleotide non-coding RNA is filed under the name uncultured Intestinimonas sp. Its description in RNAcentral is "THF riboswitch". It matches the Rfam family "THF (Tetrahydrofolate) riboswitch aptamer". From Rfam's summary of the family: THF riboswitch presents a pseudoknot that joins P1-P2 and the loop of P3 and two THF binding. The record is from RNAcentral. Lineage: Bacteria; Bacillati; Bacillota; Clostridia; Eubacteriales.